GAUGAACGCUGGCGGCGUGCCUAAUACAUGCAAGUCGAACGCAUUGUGGUUGAAAUGAUAUGAAGAACUUGUUCAGAUUUGAUUUUCAACAUUGCAAUGAGUGGCGAACGGGUGAGUAACACGUGGGAAACCUACCUCUUAGCAGGGGAUAACAUUUGGAAACAAAUGCUAAUACCGUAUAAUAAUUAAAACCGCAUGGUUUUAGUUUAAAAGAUGGUCUUGCUAUCACUAAGAGAUGGUCCCGCGGUGUAUUAGUUAGUUGGUGAGGUAAUGGCUCACCAAGACAAUGAUACAUAGCCGAGUUGAGAGACUGACCGGCCACAAUGGGACUGAGACACGGCCCAUACUCCUACGGGAGGCAGCAGUAGGGAAUCUUCCACAAUGGACGAAAGUACUGAUGGAGCAACGCCGCGUGUGUGAUGAAGGUUUCGGCUCGUAAACACUGUUGUAAGAGAAGAAUGACAUUGAGAGUAACUGUUCAA
Molecule: ribosomal RNA, 482 nt
Filed under: uncultured bacterium
Lineage: Bacteria
Description: bacterial SSU rRNA
Rfam family: Bacterial small subunit ribosomal RNA
Source: RNAcentral